GGCCGACUAGCUCAGUUGGUUAGAGCGUCAUGCUAAUAACGCGAAGGUCUUAGCUUUGAUCCCCACGUUGGCCA
Molecule: transfer RNA, 74 nt
Filed under: Desarmillaria tabescens
Lineage: Eukaryota; Fungi; Basidiomycota; Agaricomycetes; Agaricales; Physalacriaceae
Description: Armillaria tabescens (ringless honey mushroom) tRNA
Rfam family: tRNA
About the family: Transfer RNA (tRNA) molecules are approximately 80 nucleotides in length. Their secondary structure includes four short double-helical elements and three loops (D, anti-codon, and T loops).
Source: Rfam by way of RNAcentral